GAUGAAGAACGUAGCGAAAUGGGAUAAGUAAUGUGAAUUGCAGAAUUCAGUGAAUCAUCGAAUCUUUGAACGCAUCUUGCGCUCCUUGGUAUUCUGAGGAGCAUGCCUGUUUGAGUGUCAUUAAAUUCUCAACUACACUGACUUUGAAUUGGUGUGGCUUGGAUUUGGGGGGAAAAUUGUUGUGGGCUUUUUGUAUAGUCUGCUCCCCUGAAAUUGAUUAGCGGUACCUUUGUGGAACUGUCUACAGGUGUGAUAAUUAUCUACAUCUUAGACAUCUGCUGGAAUGCUGCUUUCUAAACCUUACUUGUAUUGACAAUCUUGACCUCAAAUCAGGCAGGACUACCCGCUGAACUUAAGCAUAUCAAUAAGCGGAGGA
This 376-nucleotide unclassified non-coding RNA is filed under the name soil metagenome. RNAcentral describes it as "partial contains 5.8S ribosomal RNA, internal transcribed spacer 2, and large subunit ribosomal RNA". The stretch from base 1 to 120 matches the Rfam family "5.8S ribosomal RNA", at positions 35 to 154 of the family's 154-position model. The record is from RNAcentral.